UAGAACCGGGGUAAGCGUGUAGGAGGAGGACCAGGUAAAUCCGGGCCUCAUAAACUCUGAGACGUGAUACCGAGCCGCUUCAGGCGAAGUCAUUGAUCCUAUGCUGCCUAGAAAAGCCCAGCAGCGAGUUGACAUGGUGCCCGUACCCCAAACCAACACAGGUGGACAGGUAGAGCAUACCAAGGCGAGUGGGAUAACUAUGGUUAAGGAACUCGGCAAAUUGCCUCCGUAACUUCGGGAGAAGGAGGACCCCAGUAGCGUGAUGAGACUUGCUCUCUGAGCGUGAAGGGGUGGCACAAAAUUGAGGGAAGCGACUGUUUACCAAAAACACAGCAGCGUGCUAAGCCGUAAGGCGCUGUAUACGCUGUGACUCCUGCCCGGUGCUGGAAGGUUACGGGGAUGGGUUAGUCCUUCGGGACGAAGCUCUGAACCUAAGCCCCAGUAAACGGCGGCCGUAACUAUAACGGUCCUAAGGUAGCGAAAUUCCUUGUCGGGUAAGUUCCGACCUGCACGAAUGGAGUAACGACUUCCCUACUGUCUCAACCAUAGACCCAGCGAAAUUGAAGUACGAGUAAAGAUGCUCGUUAGCUGCAGAAGGACGGAAAGACCCCGUGGACCUUUACUAUAACUUGAUGUUGUGUUUUGUCAUAUGUUGUGUAGGAUAGGUGGGAGACUUGGAAGCAUGGACGCUAGUCUGUGUGGAGUCAUCGUUGAAAUACCACCCUGCAUAUGGUGAGGCUCUAACCUAGACCCGUUAUCCGGGUUGGGGACAGCGUCAGGCGGGUAGUUUAACUGGGGCGGUUGCCUCCUAAAGAGUAACGGAGGCGCCCAAAGGUUCCCUCAGCCUGGUUGGCAAUCGGGCGUUGAGUGCAAUGGCAAAAGGGAGCUUGACUGCGAGACCUACAAGUCGAGCAGGAGCGAAAGCUGGGCAUAGUGAUCCGGCGGUUGCGUGUGGAAGCGCCGUCGCUCAACGGAUAAAAGGUACCCCGGGGAUAACAGGCUAAUCUUGCCCAAGCGUCCAUAGCGACGGCAAGGUUUGGCACCUCGAUGUCGGCUCAUCGCAUCCUGGGGCUGAAGCAGGUCCCAAGGGUUGGGCUGUUCGCCCAUUAAAGCGGUACGCGAGCUGGGUUCAGAACGUCGUGAGACAGUUCGGUCCCUAUCCUCUGCAGCCGGAGGUGAAUUGAGGAAAGCUGUCCCUAGUACGAGAGGACCGGGACGGACGCAGCUCUCGUGUGCCAGUUGUCCUGCCAAGGGCAUGGCUGGUUAGCGACCUGCGGAAAGGAUAACCGCUGAAAGCAUCUAAGCGGGAAGCCUCUUCCAAGAUGAAUUCACCCACAGGGUUAACCUGGUAAGGCCCGUGGUAGACCACCACGUUGAUAGGCCGGAAGUGUAAGCGUGGCAACACGUUCAGCUGACCGGUACUAAUCGGCCGAGGGCU
RNAcentral lists this ribosomal RNA (1438 nucleotides) under metagenome. RNAcentral describes it as "bacterial LSU rRNA". It matches the Rfam family "Bacterial large subunit ribosomal RNA", at positions 1502 to 2925 of the family's 2925-position model. The record is from RNAcentral.